Long non-coding RNA from Ailuropoda melanoleuca (giant panda), 676 nucleotides. RefSeq lists it as uncharacterized. The record is from RefSeq and is a predicted model, not a curated record. The transcript is spliced from 3 exons. NCBI's taxonomy places the organism in Eukaryota, Metazoa, Chordata, Mammalia, Carnivora, Ursidae.
ACCCAGACAGGCUAUCUCCUACCUGUGCGAUUUGCCUGGAGGAGAAAUCACUGAAGGGUGACCUGAAGCAAGUCAUCGCGAGUGGGUGUCGAUAAUAGUGAAACCAACACAUUGUCUUCUGCCUUCCAGAAAAAGCUCCCUCUGACUGCUCUCGCGCAGAACAUGCAAGAAGCGUCUACUCAGCUGGAAGAGUCUCUGCUGGGGAAGAUGCUGGAGACGUGUGGCGAUGCUGAGAAUCAGCUGGCUCUAGAACUUACUCAGCAUGAAGUCUUUGUUGAGAGAGAGAUUGUGGAACCUCUGUGCAGCAUAGCAGAGGUGGAGAUUCCCAACAUCCAAAAACAGAGGAAGCAACUCGCCAAAUUGGUGUUAGACUGGGAUUCGGUCAGAGCCAGGUAAGGUGUAGCAGUAAAAAUAACCAAUUAUGCAGGAUUAUUGUCACUCCCCCAGCAAUCGUCCUCGUCCCCAACACAGAUAAGAGAAAGGCCACUCAGUGGACAAGAUGCAGGUUUCCAGAUGCACGCACUCGAGCCACAGACCAAGUCACACCCACUUACACCUGCUUUUUAAGGCUUAUUCUCCCAAGCAUGGCAAUGGGGAUGAUGUUAGGACAUCGUGUUCUUAGUGAACCAGAAGUAAAAGGAGACAGGGGAAAAAAAAGGUAAAGAAACCUAAGUAA